AGUGAACCCUGGCGGUAGGCCUAACACAUGCAAGUCGAACGGCAGCACAGUAAGAGCUUGCUCUUACGGGUGGCGAGUGGCGGACGGGUGAGGAAUACAUUGGAAUCUACUUUUUCGUGGGGGAUAACGUAGGGAAACUUACGCUAAUACCGCAUACGACCUACGGGUGAAAGCAGGGGAUCUUCGGACCUUGCGCGAUUGAAUGAGCCGAUGUCGGAUUAGCUAGUUGGCGGGGUAAAGGCCCACCAAGGCGACGAUCCGUAGCUGGUCUGAGAGGAUGAUCAGCCACACUGGAACUGAGACACGGUCCAGACUCCUACGGGAGGCAGCAGUGGGGAAUAUUGGACAAUGGGCGCAAGCCUGAUCCAGCCAUACCGCGUGGGUGAAGAAGGCCUUCGGGUUGUAAAGCCCUUUUGUUGGGAAAGAAAAGCAGCAGGUUAAUACCCCGCUGUUCUGACGGUACCCAAAGAAUAAGCACCGGCUAACUUCGCG
Molecule: ribosomal RNA, 492 nt
Filed under: uncultured bacterium
Lineage: Bacteria
Description: partial 16S ribosomal RNA
Rfam family: Bacterial small subunit ribosomal RNA
Source: RNAcentral